GACGAACGCUGGCGGCGUGCUUAACACAUGCAAGUCGAACGGAAAGGCCUGCUUUCCCUUGUGGAUUGCGGGUACUCGAGUGGCGAACGGGUGAGUAACACGUGAGUGAUCUGCCCCCAACUUGGGUAUAAGCCUGGGAAACUGGGUCUAAUUCCCGAUAGGACUGCAGGGUGGUGCCUGUGGUGGAAAACGAUUUUCUAGUGGUUGGGGAUGAGCUCGCGGCCUAUCAGCUUGUUGGUGGGGUAAUGGCCUACCAAGGCGGCGACGGGUAGCCGGCCUGGGAGGGUGGACGGCCACAUUGGGACUGAGAUACGGCCCAGACUCCUACGGGAGGCAGCAGUGGGGAAUAGUGCACAAUGGGCGGAAGCCUGAUGCAGCGACGCCGCGUGGGGGAUGACGGCCUUCGGGUUGUAAACUCCUUUCGACCGCGAGGAAGCCACCUGGUUGGAAGGGUGGUGACGGUAGUGGUAGAAGAAGCACCGGCUAACUACGUG
This 494-nucleotide ribosomal RNA is filed under the name uncultured bacterium. RNAcentral's name for it is "partial 16S ribosomal RNA". It matches the Rfam family "Bacterial small subunit ribosomal RNA", at positions 28 to 507 of the family's 1533-position model. The record is from RNAcentral.